CUCCCAAAGUGCUAGGAUUAUAGGCGUGAGCCACCUUGUCUGGCUCAAGAGGGAAUUUCAUGCUGUGUGUCAACCCACUUGUGCUCUCAGUGUCUUACAGACCAGUCUUGUGAAGUUGGUUAUCCCACUGGGGAGUGAUGGAGGCUGAUCUCUGAUGGAUGUAAGAAACUGUGCUGACUGUGAAUACAAUAAGAUAUCUGGUACAAACAGCAUCCGCUAUUCAAUUCUGAAGGGCCAGAAGUUGUUAUAAAAUGAUUGACACCAUUUAAAAUGCUUUUAGAAACAGCCUUUUAUAUUUGGGGUUUUAUCUGAUUGGCAAAUGGGGUUAUGGACUUUUGUUUUUUAAUCUUUUCAUUUUGCUUGUCAAGAUGUUGUUCAGUUGAUCAACCCCACAUCCUGGGCAAUUGUUAGUUAGCACAUUGCUGUUGUGGUCCUGUGGAAAUAAUAUUAUAAUUAUAUAUAAUAUUAUAUAAUAAUAAUAAUAACAAUAAUUGUUUGCCAGUGCUUCAUGGGCUUUGCCAUUCCACAGUAUGCAAGAUCACCCUGUGCGCUUUGUCAAGAUCUGUGAUAUUUCUGCGUGAUCAUUGUCUCAAGAUCUGGGCCAUUUUUGACCAUCUGGGCAGGCUGGGUUGCAGAAGGCACAUCUGCCUUGGGCAGCAGUUUGCUGCUACAGAAGGAUAAGGAAGAAGGCUGGAAUGCUCAUGUGGGGCUGGCGACCAGAAUGGAAUACAUUUGAGAGAUGAUGACGUUUAACAGCUGAACCAAAAUGAAACUCUGAUGAAGAAGCUGGGGUACAGAGAGUGGAAGAACCUGCUGGAGAUCAUAAAGCGAAUUUAGUUCAGUCAGGACUGCAAGCCGGUUUGUCUGACUACAAAGACUUUAGCCCUUUUCCUGGACACUCCCACUGCCUCUUUGCCAGAAAAACAGGACACCUCAAACCCAAGGUGAACUGCAAUUUCAAAAAUUAUGCCUUUGGAUUCAUUAAAUUUGCUUGAAUAUAAA
Molecule: long non-coding RNA, 1002 nt
Organism: Macaca mulatta (Rhesus monkey)
Lineage: Eukaryota; Metazoa; Chordata; Mammalia; Primates; Cercopithecidae
Source: RefSeq, a predicted model, not a curated record